Molecule: ribosomal RNA, 525 nt
Filed under: uncultured bacterium
Lineage: Bacteria
Description: bacterial SSU rRNA
Rfam family: Bacterial small subunit ribosomal RNA
Source: RNAcentral
AAUAGAUACCCGGGUAGUCCACGCCGUAAACGAUGAGUGCUAGGUGUUAGGGGGUCCAACCCUUAGUGCCGAAGUUAACACAUUAAGCACUCCGCCUGGGGAGUACGGUCGCAAGACUGAAACUCAAAGGAAUUGACGGGGGCCCGCACAGGCGGUGGAGCAUGUGGUUUAAUUCGAAGCAACGCGAAGAACCUUACCAGGGCUUGACAUCCCUCUGACCGUUCUAGAGAUAGAGCUUCCCUUCGGGGCAGAGGUGACAGGUGGUGCAUGGUUGUCGUCAGCUCGUGUCGUGAGAUGUUGGGUUAAGUCCCGCAACGAGCGCAACCCUUGUCCUUAGUUGCCAGCAUUCAGUUGGGCACUCUAGGGAGACUGCCGGUGACAAACCGGAGGAAGGUGGGGAUGACGUCAAAUCAUCAUGCCCCUUAUGUCCUGGGCUACACACGUGCUACAAUGGCUGGUACAAAGGGUAGCGAAGCAGUGAUGUGGAGCCAAUCCCAAAAAGCCAGUCACAGUUCGGAUUGUAGG